GUAGGGAAUAUUGGACAAUGGGGGCAACCCUGAUCCAGCGACGCCGCGUGAGUGACGAAGGCCUUCGGGUCGUAAAGCUCUGUUGCAAGGGAAAAACAAAAUGAUGGUACCUUGCUAGAAAGGAUCGGCUAACUUCGUGCCAGCAGCCGCGGUAAGACGAGGGAUCCUAGCGUUGUUCGGAAUUCUUGGGCGUAAAGCGGGUGUAGGUGGCUUUGUAAGUCAGGUGUGAAAGCCUGGGGCUUAACCCCAGAAGUCCAUUAGAUACUGCGAAGCUUGAGUGCUGGAGAGACUACUAGAAUUCUUGGUGUAGUGGUGAAAUACGUAGAUAUCAAGAGGAAUACCGGAGGCGAAGGCGGGUAGCUGGCCAGACACUGACACUCAGACCCGAAAGCGUGGGGAUCAAACAGGAUUAGAUACCCCAGUAGUCC
RNAcentral lists this ribosomal RNA (428 nucleotides) under uncultured bacterium. RNAcentral describes it as "partial 16S ribosomal RNA". It matches the Rfam family "Bacterial small subunit ribosomal RNA", at positions 354 to 796 of the family's 1533-position model. The record is from RNAcentral.